Euleptes europaea (tarantolino) is the source of this 254-nucleotide long non-coding RNA. RefSeq lists it as uncharacterized. Lineage: Eukaryota; Metazoa; Chordata; Lepidosauria; Squamata; Sphaerodactylidae. The record is from RefSeq and is a predicted model, not a curated record. The transcript is spliced from 3 exons.
CCCAAGGGAACAGGGUGGAUAAGCAAAGUGCCAAUGAAAAGCCAUCAGAUAGUUCAGAUGACGAUGAAUGCAACUGUGAGCAGAGUGAUGGUGAAGCAGAGAAGAGAACUGCCCCACUAGAAUUAAUGGGAGAGUUUCUGAAAGCAAUAAUGGGACGGGACUACAAUCUUGCCAAGAAACUUUGUCAAAUGAUUCUUAUAUAUGAACCUCAAAAUCCUGAAGCCCAGCAGUUUAUUCCACUGAUUGAGCGAAAA